AGUGAACGCUGGCGGUAGGCCUAACACAUACAAGUCGAACGGCAGCACAGUAAGAGCUUGCUCUUACGGGUGGCGAGUGGCGGACGGGUGAGGAAUACAUCGGAAUCUACUUUUUCGUGGGGGAUAACGUAGGGAAACUUACGCUAAUACCGCAUACGACCUACGGGUGAAAGCAGGGGAUCUUCGGACCUUGCGCGAUUGAAUGAGCCGAUGUCGGAUUAGCUAGUUGGCGGGGUAAAGGCCCACCAAGGCGACGAUCCGUAGCUGGUCUGAGAGGAUGAGCAGCCAAACUGGAACUGAGACACGUGCCAGACCCCGACGGGGGGGAGGAGGGGGGAAUAUUGGAAAAUGGGCGAAAGCCUGACCCCGCCAAUCCGCGUGGGUGAAGAAGGCCUUCGGGUGGUAAAGCCCUUUUGUUGGGAAAGAAAAGGAGAAGGUUAACACCCCGCUGUUCGGACGGUACCCAAAGAAUAAGCCCCGGCAAACUUCGG
This 491-nucleotide ribosomal RNA is filed under the name uncultured bacterium. Its description in RNAcentral is "partial 16S ribosomal RNA". It matches the Rfam family "Bacterial small subunit ribosomal RNA", at positions 29 to 506 of the family's 1533-position model. The record is from RNAcentral.